GGAGAGAGUCUGAGCCUAAAAUAAAAGAGAGUGAGGAAGAAGAGCUGCUGGGGCUGAAGGCGGAGGCCAGGAUCAAAGGAAGCAAAGAGGAGUGUCUGGUUCAGAGGGAAGUGGGAACAUAUGGAGGAGAAAGAGAAGACUUGGUAACGUGUUGACAGAGGACACUUGGAUAUUGGGAGAAAAGCUGUGACUGGGAGCUCAUAAGGAAAUGUUUGAGAAAAGGAUGGAGGAUGGGCUAGAAGGAUUUAGUCUGACACAUGAUGGGGUGUAUGAGAUGCAGAAUUGCAGCAGGAUAAAGGGUAGAUUUUGAGGGUUGUGGAAGAAGGUGCAGACUGAAGUGGGCAAAAUUUCUGAAAGAGGAGCCUGAAGAAUAAAGGGCUCCCAAGUAACAAAAGCAGGAGAGGAGAUAAGAAAGAAGUGAGAAAAAACGUAAGAAGCCACAUGCCAUGAUGGUGAUUGUGUUUGUUGAUCUCUGCCAUCCCGAGAUCAUCACUCCUAGCCUCCUCUGGAAACUCUCUGAGAGCCGGGGAAUCGUCUCUUUCAUAAGAGGACUGCACAGGCACGAGGUCAUACUUGGGCAGUUUUUGGCUUUGUGAAAAUCUCUCAGAUUGCACCGCACAGUAUACAAAUGAUGAACCAGACAACCACAUUCGUUCUUUGGAUUGCAUUUUCUCCUGGGAUAUCAGACACAUUUCACCAGGGCCACAGAAAGAAAAAUGAAGACCAAGAUACCGUGACAAAUGCCAACUACCUCGU
RNAcentral lists this small RNA (756 nucleotides) under Pongo abelii (Sumatran orangutan). RNAcentral's name for it is "processed transcript". Lineage: Eukaryota; Metazoa; Chordata; Mammalia; Primates; Hominidae. The record is from RNAcentral.